Long non-coding RNA from Lutra lutra (Eurasian river otter), 3162 nucleotides. RefSeq lists it as uncharacterized. Lineage: Eukaryota; Metazoa; Chordata; Mammalia; Carnivora; Mustelidae. The record is from RefSeq and is a predicted model, not a curated record. The transcript is spliced from 3 exons.
CUGACAUUACCUCCCUGUUAAGCUAUCAAUGCAGUAUUUUGGCCUUAGGAUAUCUUACCAGGAAAAAAAAGAAUCUUUUUCUAUUAAAGCUAUAAAUUUUGCUGAAGUUCAAGAGAGAUACAUCAAGUAUGAAGUGUGACACUCUAUUUGCCCAAAAGCUAGAGUGAAGGGUCAUGUGUUCAUCUUGUCACUGCCCCCUUCCCUCAGGUCCAGGCUUCCUCCCGCCUCGUUCAUUUUCUGCCUCUCAAGUCUGUUUGCUCCUAUGCAUUUCACCCUGCUCUAAAGGGUUCCUAAAGAAACAAACUCAAGGGAGUCAUCAUCUUUACAAUUCUGAAUCAGCACAUCAGCUCAUUCUGAAAUAAUUCCAACAUCAGUCUUACCUGUUUUUCUCCAAAUGGUGUAAAAAGGCACAGAGUUCAAAGACAUACCAGCUGUCUGCACCGUUCCAAGAUUCUGAGCUUGUUGGCUGACCUUGGCUAGUACUUGUAUCUAUUUACCUUUGAAUUUAGCAAAACAGGAGUCUUAUUUUCUUAACCCACUACACCAAGUUUCUCCCUACAAACCACAUGUAUGCACUGUAAUAAACCCGAAUGGCUAACCUAAUAAGGUUUUCGAUUCCCGCCCUCAUUUCCUCUUCCCCUUUUCUACUAUCAGCCCCCUUUUAAAAAGUAUUUCUUUUAAGCCAAAUGAAUAUUCAUAAGUUGCAACAACUGUGUAUUGAUUUCAUACUACCUUCAGGGCAUUCUGAUAGACUAGAAGGACCCAAAGUGCUGAACACCAGGGUUUGUGAAUUUCAGAAUAAGGAGCAGGUGCUCUGGACCACUGAUGAGUGGUGCCCAUAGGGAAAAGAAAGCUGGGCGGCCCACGGCCUGCAGGCAAAGCUUGAGCCACAGGGGGAAAGGUUUAUCAAAGAUACCAAACCUGCCAGACAAGAAGGAGAGAAGGGAACACUACCAGCAAGAAGCAACUCAAUGGGCAAAGACACAGGAACGAACAGUGUGAGGCUUGCUUGGGAAACAGCUGUGCCCUUUGGCCACGCACAGGCUUACUCACUUAUGUAACAUAUACUUACUUACCUAGUGCUUUGUCCGCAGGAGAUUCCGUUUUCUUCUUAGAAGGGAAAUCAUCCCAAGCAGACAAGCAUUGCUUUACCUUCCUUUCAAAAUGGCAAGCUCUCCCAACAGAAACUUGUUAGGCUGUGGUCUUACAAAGUAAAAAGAAAAAGGAAGAAGGAGACGUGCUAACUGCUAACUUCUGGUGCAAUUAAAAAAAAAUGGGUUUUGUUUUUGGUUUUGGGUUUUUUUUUGUUUUGUUUUGUUUUGCUCCAGGAAGCUGGGCUACCGGCUCUGGUUGUGAGUAUUCCAGAAGUUCUGAUAAAAGGAAAACACCUAUUUCUGUUCAAGUGGAGCUCAAAAGAAUAAGCUACGCACAUCGUCUUCCCUUUACUUUCCCGGCCCAGACGGAGGCACAGCUAAGUGACUCGUACAAAUUUUAUCACUGUGACAGCUGUCUUCUGCCGCCUCACCUCACCUCACUUCAACAAACAAACAAACAAACAAACAACAGCAACAAAAAAACAGAAAGAGAAAGGCCUCGUCUGCAUAUAAUCCAAAAAUAUCUUCCACCUUUGCUCUUGCUUUGGUGGAAACCCAGAUCGUAGAUGUUUUAGGAGCCCACACCCUUCGGCAUUAGGCAUCGCUGGCUCUGAAGCUGGUUGGGAAGCUCCUUAGAUAUAAGACCAUAGAUAAGGGACGUCUCAAAGUCCCAUUUUCCUCAUAAGAAAAGGAGGGAAACCAUACAUCAGAGGGCGGUGGUGAUGAUUGCCUAUGAUUUGGGGUAUAAAGUGCUUGGUACGGUAGGUGCACGCAGGGACUGCAGAAAACACACCGCAUCACCAGUGUUUACCACCUCCUGGUGCCCCUCAAGAUAGGGACUGGCCUUUUACUUCAGCCCCUCACACAGGACCCAGCACAGUGGAGGGGACUGGUAGGUAGCUAGUGGGUGAAUAGGGGACUGGGAGGGUCAUCACACGGAAAGAUAAAGUCCUGGAUUUGUUUUCCUAUUUUCUGCCAUCGGAGAUGUAAAGUUUGUAUCUUAAUCCUCCAAAUUGCAUUCCUACUUGGGACUUGCAGUGUUCAUUCACCAGGGUUUGGGGUUCUACUUUUUAGAAAUAACCAAACAAUCACAGUAACCAUGUAUGUUGAACGGAUCUGUGAGCAGCUGCUGUUCUCUGCCACUAGAUGGCGUCUAUCCAUAAAAACCCUGAACACACCAGAGUCGACAAGGUAAUAAUUCUAAAGAAAUUAAUACAGAAAAGGCGUGUGUGUGUGUGUGCGUGUGCGUGUGUGUGUAUACAUAGUCACACAUACAUAUAUUUACCUUUUGCAUAUGAUUUCUUCUUAAUAUUGGCUAUGAAUCUAAAGCUGUCUACAGUUUGGCAAACCCUUGCUUUCCUAAUUUGAAGUCUCCGUAGUAACAUUCGCGGUGGUUAUUUUACAUAUGAUUUCUCUUUAAUAUCGGUUAUGAAUCCAAAGCUGUCUACAGCUUGGCAAACCCUUGCUUUCCUAAUUUUAACAGUCUCCUGCAACUACGUUUUUAGUUGUUAAUUAAACUCUAAGCAGCAUCCACGUUCAAGACGUUUCACGGCACCUGGUGACUGCUCUCCCAUCUUGUGGCAAAGUUGAUGGAAAAACUCACCCUCUGCGAAGAAAGAAGUUGAAAAGAUUUGGGAGAAAAGGAAGGGGCAGACAGAAGGUUCUGCAGGCCUUAGUCAUUCAUUAAGCAGGCGCCGGGGGUGGGGCACCAGGGAUCGCUAGCACCGUGCAAGGCCCUGCAGCCGCGGGGAUGAAGACAGUUUACUUCGAGGAUGUGCUUGCUAACCCAGGAAGGAGAAUGUUCCAACUGUAAGAGACAAAUGUUCACAGGACGACACAUCAAUCAUCAGGGUAUGGAUGUUUCUUAGAGAUUAACAGGACAUAUAAGGGAGAAAUAGAGAUCAAGAAAGUGCCAUCAUGACUAGAGAGUUUCUGCUCUCCAGUCUUCAGGUGGAUUCAUAAGACCACAUUUCUUCAUGCCGACAUUUGGUUGUCUGUGCAUUUAGGCAAGAAAAGCUGAACUCGAGGGGCACCUGGGUGGCUCAGUCAGUUAAGCAUCUGCCUUUGG